AGAUUGAACGCUGGCGGCAUGCCUUACACAUGCAAGUCGAACGGUAACGCGGGGCAACCUGGCGACGAGUGGCGAACGGGUGAGUAAUGCAUCGGAACGUGCCCAGUAGUGGGGGAUAGCUCGGCGAAAGCCGGAUUAAUACCGCAUACGACCUAAGGGUGAAAGCGGGGGACCGUAAGGCCUCGCGCUAUUGGAGCGGCCGAUGUCAGAUUAGGUGUUGGUGGGGUAAAAGCCUACCAAGCCGACGAUCUGUAGCUGGUCUGAGAGGACGACCAGCCACACUGGGACUGAGACACGGCCCAGACUCCUACGGAGGCAGCAGUGGGAAUUUGGACAAUGGGGCAACCCUGAUCCAGCCAUGCCGCGUGCGGGAAGAAGGCUUCGGUUGUAAACCGCUUUGGUCAGGAAGAAACGCUCUAGGUUAAUACCGUACGGGUAAUGACGGUACCUGAAGAAGUAAG
RNAcentral lists this ribosomal RNA (461 nucleotides) under uncultured soil bacterium. RNAcentral describes it as "bacterial SSU rRNA". It matches the Rfam family "Bacterial small subunit ribosomal RNA", at positions 26 to 490 of the family's 1533-position model. The record is from RNAcentral.